Molecule: ribosomal RNA, 451 nt
Filed under: uncultured bacterium
Lineage: Bacteria
Description: bacterial SSU rRNA
Rfam family: Bacterial small subunit ribosomal RNA
Source: RNAcentral
UCGAGAAUCUUCCGCAAUGGGCGAAAGCCUGAUGGAGCGACGUCGCGUGAUGGACGAAGUGCUUCGGCACGUAAACAUCUUUUUAUGUGGGAUGAAAUUAUUGACAGUACCACAUGAAUAAGGGGCUCCUAACUCUGUGCCAGCAGGAGCGGUAAUACAGAGGCCCCAAGCGUUAUCCGGAAUCACUGGGCGUAAAGGGUGUCGAGGCGGUUGUAUUAGUCGUUCGUAAAAUCUACGAGCUUAACUUGUAGGCGGCGAACGAAACGGUACGACUUGAGGUUUGGAGAGGUGCGUGGAACUCACGGUGUAGGGGUGAAAUCCGUUGAUAUCGUGGGGAACACCAAAGGCGAAGGCAGCGCACUGGCCAAAAUCUGACGCUCACACACGAAAGCUAGGGUAGCGAAGAGGAUUAGAUACCCCAGUAGUCCCUGAGCGGGCUGGCAAGGCGCAU